RNAcentral lists this ribosomal RNA (497 nucleotides) under uncultured bacterium. RNAcentral's name for it is "partial 16S ribosomal RNA". It matches the Rfam family "Bacterial small subunit ribosomal RNA", at positions 28 to 507 of the family's 1533-position model. The record is from RNAcentral.
GAUGAACGCUGGCGGCGCGCCUAAUACAUGCCAGUCGAGCGAACAGACGAGGAGCUUGCUCCUUUGACGUUAGCGGCGGACGGGUGAGUAACACGUGGGUAACCUACCUAUAAGACUGGGAUAACUUCGGGAAACCGGAGCUAAUACCGGAUAAUAUUUCGAACCGCAUGGUUCGAUAGUGAAAGAUGGCUUUGCUAUCACUUAUAGAUGGACCUGCGCCGUAUUAGCUAGUUGGUAAGGUAACGGCUUACCAAGGCAACGAUACGUAGCCGACCUGAGAGGGUGAUCGGCCACACUGGAACUGAGACACGGUCCAGACUCCUACGGGAGGCAGCAGUAGGGAAUCUUCCGCAAUGGGCGAAAGCCUGACGGAGCAACGCCGCGUGAGUGAUGAAGGUCUUCGGAUCGUAAAACUCUGUUAUUAGGGAAGAACAAACGUGUAAGUAACUGUGCACGUCUUGACGGUACCUAAUCAGAAAGCCACGGCUAACUACGUG